Molecule: transfer RNA, 484 nt
Filed under: Carnobacterium gallinarum
Lineage: Bacteria; Bacillati; Bacillota; Bacilli; Lactobacillales; Carnobacteriaceae
Description: medium 16S-23S ribosomal RNA intergenic spacer
Rfam family: tRNA (bases 99-171)
Source: RNAcentral
CUAAGGAAUUAACGGAACCCAACACAUUCGUCUUUAUUUUGUUCAGUUUUGAGAGGUUAAUUUUUUUUGAACUAAAUUAAUUAAAUACCUUUUAAAAAGGGGCCUUAGCUCAGCUGGGAGAGCGCCUGCCUUGCACGCAGGAGGUCAGCGGUUCGAUCCCGCUAGGCUCCAUUAGUAAUCUUUUGUUAGAUUACUUGAAUUUGUUCUUUGAAAACUGGAUACUGUAUUAAAAAAGUAAGUUAAGUAAGAAACCGAGAAACACCGCGUUUUAAAUGAGUUUUUUAAUUAGUUCUUAUCGCAAGAUAAUGAAUAAACAUUAACUAACAGGAUUGUUUUAGCAAUAAAAUCUUCCACACAAACUAUUUGUGCAGGAAUGCAACAGAAUUUUAGGAUUGAACUGCAAUGAGCCUCGAAGCGUACUAACGUACGUAAGAAGUGAAUGAAGGAACAAGACGAUGAAGACUGAAGCAGUACCAACAAAUAA